RNAcentral lists this non-coding RNA (28 nucleotides) under Bombyx mori (domestic silkworm). The record is from RNAcentral. Lineage: Eukaryota; Metazoa; Arthropoda; Insecta; Lepidoptera; Bombycidae.
UAGUUCAAAUAACAAUAUCUAUGGACAU